CCGAGUGUAACUACUCACCAACCCAUGUGAACAUACCUUCUGUUGCUUCGGCAGGUUCGCCCCGGGCGCUCUCUACGCGUGCCCCGGAACCAGGCGCCUGCCGGGGGAUUGAAAUUCUGUCUUUAUAGAGGAUUAUCUGAGUGGCUCUUGAGCAAAUAAUCA
This 162-nucleotide unclassified non-coding RNA is filed under the name uncultured Clonostachys. RNAcentral describes it as "sequence contains ITS1". The record is from RNAcentral. Lineage: Eukaryota; Fungi; Ascomycota; Sordariomycetes; Hypocreales; Bionectriaceae.